Molecule: ribosomal RNA, 493 nt
Filed under: uncultured bacterium
Lineage: Bacteria
Description: bacterial SSU rRNA
Rfam family: Bacterial small subunit ribosomal RNA
Source: RNAcentral
GACGAACGCUGGCGGCGUGGAUUAGGCAUGCAAGUCGAACGGUAGAUAUCCUUCGGGGUAUUGAGAGUGGCGAACGGGUGAGUAACACGUAGGUAAUCUACCCUCAAAUCGGGGACAACCCAGGGAAACUUGGGCUAAUACCGGAUGAGUGCAGCACCUAAAUCAUCCAUACGGAAUCUGGUUAAGAUUGGGUUUUGUAUGGUUGGGUGAUUUAGGUGCUGUAUAAAAGAUGGCUUCGGCUGUCGUUUGAGGAUGAGCCUGCGCUCUAUUAGUUAGUUGGUGAGGUAAUGGCUCACCAAGGCGAUGAUAGAUAGGCGGCCUUAACGGGUGGUCGCCCACACUGGGAUUGAGAUACGGCCCAGACUCCUACGGGAGGCAGCAGUCGAGAAUAGUCUACAAUGGACGAAAGUCUGAUAGUGCGACGCCGCGUGAACGAUGAAUCCCUUCGGGGUGUAAAGUUCUUUUAUAUGUGAGCAAUGCCUUAUAUGUGAAU